Long non-coding RNA from Musa acuminata AAA Group (dessert banana), 3542 nucleotides. RefSeq lists it as uncharacterized. The transcript is spliced from 2 exons. The record is from RefSeq and is a predicted model, not a curated record. Lineage: Eukaryota; Viridiplantae; Streptophyta; Magnoliopsida; Zingiberales; Musaceae.
CAAACACCGCUCCCUACAAGUACUUGCCCCAUUCUCGAACCCAUAUCGAGAAGCAGAUCUUCCCCUAUCAAUCAACCUUGCCGUCCAUCUCAUCGAAGGUGAGGGGAAUACAUUUCGUGGUUUAACUCGAUCUUGUGUUCUUCCGAUGGCGUUGUUCUCUGCAAUCUUCUUGUUUUCGGUGAGAUUGGAUCAUUAACCAACUGCAUCAAUUCGCCAUCGUCAUCUGUUUGUUUGAGCCUCCUGAAGCUUGAAUAUGGAUAAGAUCGGUUGGCUAGACAUGGAUUUUUGUUCAUAUGUUCGGAUCCGCAUAUUACCAUUGCUUUAUGUUUAGAUAUAUGUUCUUGAUUUAUAGAUAUCUUAGGCCGGGGGUAAUGGUAUCUUAUGUUUGGAUACGUUUGGUGUGAUGCGUGACGAUCAUAUCUGUGGUGUCAUUUCUUUUGUGUCUAACGGGCGCUAUGGAAAACGGAGUUCGAUCUAGCAAUAUCUUGAUUCGUUGGUUUGAUUUCAUUAGCAGAACUUGAUCUGUUGGAUAUAUUUUUAUUGGUUAGUUUAUUAUUUGUGAUUAUAGUUGGUUUGAUACUCAUGUUUAGGGAAGAAGGCGUUGACAUCCUCGUUAGCCCAAUGUGGUCGUGACCCGUAUGUAUGGGAUUGUCUAAGUACCUCCGAGAUGAAAACAUUGAGCUUUCGAGAUGUCAUCAGUAUGAAAAUCGAAGUCGAAAGAGAUUUCUCGAUCUAAUUUUUUCGAUGCCCAAAUUAGUAACCCGAAAUAUAUGAAUGUGGACGUAAGUGGUCGAAAAAGGGAGGUAGCCUCUAAUCGUCUCUCCUUGGGCCUCUUGUCGAUGUGGGCGAUAAAAAAGGGGGGGGGGGGGAGGGGGCAGCCAAUAACUGUCUAUUUUGGACCCUUGCCCAUGUGUAGAUGGAUGGAGGGUGACUCUCGUCUUCUCCUUCCACCUUGGACUCUACGUGGUAGUUACAUGACGAAUGACGAUUAACUGAUGGUAUAAUCUCUAUCAUUUAUCCUCCCCCCGCAAGGGGUUAAAAGUGCAACGUUUAGUUCAUCUGGUAUGUUAAACUUAUACCUAUUUGAUCCAUUGUCGACCUGAUGAUAUGUUUAAUUCGUCCAGCACGUCUAGUCCAUCGCUCCUCAAGUUCGUCUGGGAUCGCCUUCCCCAACGUUGUUAGUGGUAAUCCAUUGUUAACUUGUCCCUCGUAUCAUCAGGGGAUGCACAUUGGUCUGACAGGGUAAGGUUUUUAGACUUUCAUGCCUCAAGUGGGGGUUAGGGGUCAGACUUCCCGACCUCCUCGCCUCGAGCAUGAAAGGGAGUACUCCGUUAGCUAAUCUUCAUCCGACAUGUAACUACCACAUGAUGCCCAGGGUGGAAGGAGAAGACGAAGGUCACCCUCCACCCGUCUACUCACAUGAGCAAGGGUCCAAGGUAGGUGGUUAUGAGCUGCCCCUCCCCGCUCCCAAAUUGUUGCCCACAUGAACAAGAGGCCAAGGGGAGGUUGUUAGAGGUUGUCUUCCCGUAAAAUAUUUCAUGAAAUAUUUUAUCCCUUUACGAUUAGGUAUACAAGCUCAUCUUCAACACAAUGAAAGGAGGCUUAUCUUUUUUUAUCGCUCACGUCCGUACUCAUACAUCUCGAGUCACUAACUUGGGCAUCGGAGAGACUAAAUCAGGAAAUCUCUUUCAACCUCGUUCUUCGUGUAGGUGGUAUCUCGGGAGCUUGACAUUUCCACUUCGAAGACAUCUCGGACAACCAUGCACAUACGAGUUCGAACUACGUCGAGCUGACGAGGACAAUAACUCUUAUAGAAAGUAAAUUAACCUAUCCAUUUUUUACUUACCCAAUUGAAUCAUGGAGUCCUUUGAGGAAAAAUGUCUGCUUGAAAAGUUGAUCCACAAUAUGAAUAUUCGCUUUUAAUAUUUAUCCUUUGAAAACAGAAAAAAGGAAAACAAAAAUCAUGCUAAUUAUUAGCUUGUUGAUUCCAUACUAUGGAUUUGCAUCGAGCACCAUAUGCUCCUCGUGGACAUUUCUUUUGCUACAUCUGUUCAAAUGCUUUUUUUCUUUACUAAUUGACUCUUGGUUGACUGUGACUUAGUAAGUUGAAAACGCUGAAGCGUCUUUAAUGUCUGAGCAAGAUUCUCUCUAUUUGGGAUCAGUCGGACUUGCUGGAGAAUAUUCUCCUCCGACAAGAAAAAGAGACAGCCUCUAUCAGGGAAGGUUUGGCUGCAUGCAUUACAGGCCUCCUCGGCAUCUCUCACCAACUCGGGGUUGCUACUUUACUCAGCCUCUUUUAAUUGAUGAGGCUUCUGUUGGUGUUUGCAAAGCAAAGGAUAAGAUUGUUGUUUCUGGUGCUUCCUUCCGUUGAAUAGGCUUAAUAUCUGUCUUUGCCAAUGAAUCAUCUGACAAAGAUGGCUUUGCUGAAUAUUGGUGCUUCAAACAGUGAUGAUGCCUUUCAUAGGCACAACCUGCUGAAGAUGAUAACCAAAAUUGAAGGCCAUGGCAAUGCCUAAGAUGAUAACCCACCUGAGCAGAAGAAGGGGGAGCAAAGGACAAGAAGGGAAUGAGGACGGCAGAAAAGAAUUGGUUGAAAGAAGGGGAAGCAGCUGAUGAGGAACAGAAGAAGCUGAAGAAGGAAUCAGAGAGGAAAGUAGCUGCCUCCACCAAAGAUGGAGCCUCAAAGGCCACUGCUGCAAGAAGAAGGUCGGUUGUGUCUCAGAUGAGGAUCGAUCAACCUCUCCUAUUGGCAGUCGAGAUGGUGAUGCCAGUGCUGCCGCUGAUAAUGACAACGAUGAUGUUCAAUGGAGGCAACUCAACAGUGUAUCCAGGAACAGCUGAGAUGGUUAUGCUCUCAAACCAAUGAGCCCACCCAGUAAAAGAGAACAGAAAAGGCAAGUAAAGGACUUUAACAUCGGCAGUCUGAAGCAUGAUGAGAAAACUGGUACAGGCCAAAAUGGUUCUCGAAUCAGCAAGCAUGACACAUUGCUUGCAGAAAUUAAGAGCAAUCCGAGCAAGGUGUCCACUCCCAACCAGCUUCAGACUUCUUUGGUUUCUCUUACUGGGUCUCCACAGGGAGUUAUGACCGUCCUCUUUGAAGCACUCUUUGAGGGAGCGGGGAAAGGCUUUGUUGCUGCUGCUGCUGUGCAAAGUGAAGAGUCCCAAGCUCCAUCUGCUUCAUGCUGUAGAAGGUGGAUGCUAUGAAGGAAGUCACUCUCGUUCUUAAGGUACUUUACCACGGUGAUGUUCUGACCAAAGAGACGAUAAUGAAGUGGUAUGAGGGAAGGUGCGCAAGAGCUCUCAGGUAUUCACAUAUGUGAAGCCAUUCGUGGAUUGGCUUUAUUACUACCAUCGUAGCUCAUAAGUAGCUCCGUUGGAAUCUGAAUGUUUCCGAAUUCUGUGAUUGUUGCUUGUAAUAAAGCUUCCUGAGUUGUGUGUUGAGUUUGUCUAUUUGAUACUUGAUGUCCUUCCAGGCUCUGUGGUGUGUUGAUCACAGCAAUUUGUAGUGUUCCAUUAUUAAUGAUGCUCGAGUUUUAAUCUCA